This 246-nucleotide ribosomal RNA is filed under the name uncultured bacterium. RNAcentral's name for it is "partial 16S ribosomal RNA". It matches the Rfam family "Bacterial small subunit ribosomal RNA", at positions 524 to 769 of the family's 1533-position model. The record is from RNAcentral.
UACGUAGGUGGCAAGCGUUGUCCGGAUUUACUGGGCGUAAAGGAUGCGUAGGCGGAUGUUUAAGUGAGAUGUGAAAUACCCGAGCUCAACUUGGGUGCUGCAUUUCAAACUGGAUAUCUAGAGUGCAGGAGAGGAAAGCGGAAUUCCUAGUGUAGCGGUGAAAUGCGUAGAGAUUAGGAAGAACACCAGUGGCGAAGGCGGCUUUCUGGACUGUAACUGACGCUGAGGCAUGAAAGCGUGGGGAGC